AUGAUGCGGUGCGCCGUGAGGGGCGGCGGUGCUCACGUCGUCGUCGGCGAGCGGAGGUCUGCGUCGUCGUCGCCCGGCGGCAGCGGCGGAAGGAGCGUCGUGCGGAUGUCGGAGGGCCGCGGCGGGCUCUGCUGCGGCGGCGUGCGGUCGCGCGCGGCGGAUCUCGCGGGGCUCGAGAUGGGCCGGCCCAGCGCCGGCGCCGCGGGGCUCUUCCGGAGCGCGCGCUACGGCCGCGUGCGCGCCACCGCCUCAGCUGAUCCCGAGGAUAUUCCAUCUGACAAGCUUCAAGCUAAAUCGUCCGGGAGUGUUCUGCCAUACGUUGGCGUUGCUUGCUUGGGGGCAAUUUUGUUCGGCUACCAUCUUGGUGUGGUCAAUGGCGCACUUGAAUAUCUCUCGAAAGAUCUUGGGAUUGCUGAAAAUGCUGUGUUACAAGGAUGGGUGGUUAGUACAACCCUGGCUGGCGCGACAGUAGGUUCUUUUACCGGAGGGGCUUUGGCUGAUAAAUUAGGGAGAACACGGACAUUUAUCCUAGAUGCAAUCCCUCUUGCUGUAGGCGCAUUCUUGAGUGCAACAGCUCAAGAUGUCCGUACAAUGAUUAUUGGUCGAUUACUUGCUGGGAUUGGUAUUGGGAUCUCUUCUGCUCUUGUGCCCCUUUACAUAUCUGAGAUCUCACCAACUGAAAUACGUGGAGCACUUGGUACAAUUAAUCAGCUGUUUAUCUGCAUUGGAAUUCUUGCAGCUUUGGUAGCUGGAUUGCCAUUAGCACAAAAUCCUGCAUGGUGGAGGACAAUGUUUGGAAUUUCAAUAGUUCCAUCUAUUUUGUUGGCUCUAGGAAUGGCUGUUUCACCUGAAAGCCCUCGCUGGCUAUUCCAGCAAGGAAAGAUUUCUCAAGCAGAAGCAGCUAUAAAAAAAUUGUAUGGAAAAGAGAAGGUUACUGAAGUCAUGUAUGACCUGAAGGCUAGUGGGCAAGGAUCUAAUGAGCCAGAUGCCAACUGGUUUGAUCUAUUCAGCAAACGCUAUUGGAAAGUUGUGAGCGUGGGAGCGGCACUGUUUUUGUUGCAGCAACUUGCUGGCAUAAAUGCUGUUGUGUACUACUCUACAUCAGUGUUCCGCAGUGCAGGCAUUGCAUCUGAUGUUGCAGCGAGUGCUCUUGUUGGUGCCGCGAAUGUUUUUGGCACCAUGAUUGCAUCUUCACUGAUGGACAAGCAAGGGAGGAAGAGCCUUCUCAUAACAAGCUUUUCUGGGAUGGCGGCGUCGAUGUUACUCUUGUCAUUGUCCUUCACCUGGAAGGCUUUGGCACCUUAUUCUGGCACUCUUGCUGUUGUGGGCACUGUCCUGUAUGUGCUGUCAUUCGCUCUUGGAGCUGGCCCUGUUCCAGCUUUGCUCCUUCCUGAAAUAUUUGCCUCCAGAAUAAGGGCCAAGGCUGUAGCAUUAUCAAUGGGCAUGCACUGGGUAUCCAACUUCUUCAUCGGCCUGUACUUCCUGAGCGUCGUCAACAAGUUUGGAAUCAGCACCGUGUACUUGGGAUUCGCGUCCGUGUGUGCUCUCGCAGUCCUGUACAUUGCCGGGAAUGUGGUCGAGACCAAGGGGCGAUCCCUGGAAGAGAUUGAGCGGGAGCUAAGCCCGCCCAGUAAAGCCGAUGCUAAUGCUUUCUUGGUGAGCGAUCAAUGA
RNAcentral lists this ribosomal RNA (1671 nucleotides) under Triticum aestivum (bread wheat). Its description in RNAcentral is "partial small subunit ribosomal RNA". The record is from RNAcentral. Lineage: Eukaryota; Viridiplantae; Streptophyta; Magnoliopsida; Poales; Poaceae.